RNAcentral lists this ribosomal RNA (434 nucleotides) under uncultured bacterium. RNAcentral's name for it is "partial 16S ribosomal RNA". It matches the Rfam family "Bacterial small subunit ribosomal RNA", at positions 29 to 507 of the family's 1533-position model. The record is from RNAcentral.
AACGAACGCUGGCGGCAUGCCUAACACAUGCAAGUCGAACGAUUGCCUUCGGGUGAUAGUGGCGCACGGGUGCGUAACGCGUGGUAAUCUGCCCUUAGGUUCGGAAUAACAGCUGGAAACGGCUGCUAAUACCGGAUGAUAUCGCGAGAUCAAAGAUUUAUCGCCUGAGGAUGAGCCCGCGUUGGAUUAGGUAGUUGGUGGGGUAAAGGCCUACCAAGCCGACGAUCCAUAGCUGGUCUGAGAGGAUGAUCAGCCACACUGGGACUGAGACACGGCCCAGACUCCUACGGGAGGCAGAGUGGGGAAUAUUGGACAAUGGGCGCAAGCCUGAUCCAGCAAUGACGCGUGAGUGAUGAAGGCCCUAGGGUUGUAAAGCUCUUUUACCCGGGAAGAUAAUGACUGUACCGGGAGAAUAAGCCCCGGCUAACUCCGUG